GGGUGAGUAACACGUGGAUAACCUACCUAUAAGACUGGGAUAACUUCGGGAAACCGGAGCUAAUACCGGAUAAUAUAUUGAACCGCAUGGUUCAAUAGUGAAAGACGGUUUUGCUGUCACUUAUAGAUGGAUCCGCGCCGCAUUAGCUAGUUGGUAAGGUAACGGCUUACCAAGGCAACGAUGCGUAGCCGACCUGAGAGGGUGAUCGGCCACACUGGAACUGAGACACGGUCCAGACUCCUACGGGAGGCAGCAGUAGGGAAUCUUCCGCAAUGGGCGAAAGCCUGACGGAGCAACGCCGCGUGAGUGAUGAAGGUCUUCGGAUCGUAAAACUCUGUUAUUAGGGAAGAACAAAUGUGUAAGUAACUAUGCACGUCUUGACGGUACCUAAUCAGAAAGCCACGGCUAACUACGUGCCAGCAGCCGCGGUAAUACGUAGGUGGCAAGCGUUAUCCGGAAUUAUUGGGCGUAAAGCGCGCGUAGGCGGUUUUUUAAGUCUGAUGUGAAAGCCCACGGCUCAACCGUGGAGGGUCAUUGGAAACUGGAAAACUUGAGUGCAGAAGAGGAAAGUGGAAUUCCAUGUGUAGCGGUGAAAUGCGCA
This 601-nucleotide ribosomal RNA is filed under the name Staphylococcus epidermidis. RNAcentral's name for it is "bacterial SSU rRNA". It matches the Rfam family "Bacterial small subunit ribosomal RNA", at positions 104 to 692 of the family's 1533-position model. The record is from RNAcentral. Lineage: Bacteria; Bacillati; Bacillota; Bacilli; Caryophanales; Staphylococcaceae.